This 495-nucleotide ribosomal RNA is filed under the name uncultured bacterium. RNAcentral's name for it is "partial 16S ribosomal RNA". It matches the Rfam family "Bacterial small subunit ribosomal RNA", at positions 28 to 505 of the family's 1533-position model. The record is from RNAcentral.
GAUGAACGCUGGCGGCGUGCCUAAUACAUGCAAGUCGAGCGAACAGACGAGGAGCUUGCUCCUCUGACGUUAGCGGCGGACGGGUGAGUAACACGUGGAUAACCUACCUAUAAGACUGGGAUAACUUCGGGAAACCGGAGCUAAUACCGGAUAAUAUAUUGAACCGCAUGGUUCAAUAGUGAAAGACGGUUUUGCUGUCACUUAUAGAUGGAUCCGCGCCGCAUUAGCUAGUUGGUAAGGUAACGGCUUACCAAGGCGACGAUGCGUAGCCGACCUGAGAGGGUGAUCGGCCACACUGGAACUGAGACACGGUCCAGACUCCUACGGGAGGCAGCAGUAGGGAAUCUUCCGCAAUGGGCGAAAGCUUGACGGAGCAACGCCGCGUGAGUGAUGAAGGUCUUCGGAUCGUAAAACUCUGUUAUUAGGGAAGAACAAAUGUGUAAGUAACUAUGCACGUCUUGACGGUACCUAAUCAGAAAGCCACGGCUAACUACG